This 468-nucleotide ribosomal RNA is filed under the name uncultured bacterium. Its description in RNAcentral is "bacterial SSU rRNA". It matches the Rfam family "Bacterial small subunit ribosomal RNA", at positions 444 to 905 of the family's 1533-position model. The record is from RNAcentral.
AACGAAACGGUUCGCUUUAAUACAGUGGGCUAAUGACGGUACCGUAAGAAUAAGCACCGGCUAACUACGUGCCAGCAGCCGCGGUAAUACGUAGGGUGCGAGCGUUAAUCGGAAUUACUGGGCGUAAAGCGUGCGCAAGCGGUUAUAUAAGACAGUUGUGAAAUCCCCGGGCUCAACCUGGGAAUUGCAUUUGUGACUGUAUAGCUAGAGUACGGUAGAGGGGGAUGGAAUUCCGCGUGUAGCAGUGAAAUGCGUAGAUAUGCGGAGGAACACCGAUGGCGAAGGCAAUCCCCUGGACCUGUACUGACGCUCAUGCACGAAAGCGUGGGGAGCAAACAGGAUUAGAUACCCUGGUAGUCCACGCCCUAAACGAUGUCAACUGGUUGUUGGGUGCAUUAGUACUCAGUAACGAAGCUAACGCGUGAAGUUGACCGCCUGGGGAGUACGGCCGCAAGGUUGAAACUCAAA